This 497-nucleotide ribosomal RNA is filed under the name uncultured bacterium. Its description in RNAcentral is "partial 16S ribosomal RNA". It matches the Rfam family "Bacterial small subunit ribosomal RNA", at positions 28 to 507 of the family's 1533-position model. The record is from RNAcentral.
GAUGAACGCUGGCGGCGUGCCUAAUACAUGCAAGUCGAGCGAACAGACGAGGAGCUUGCUCCUCUGACGUUAGCGGCGGACGGGUGAGUAACACGUGGAUAACCUACCUCUAAGACUGGGAUAACUUCGGGAAACCGGAGCUAAUACCGGAUAAUAUAUUGAACCGCAUGGUUCAAUAGUGAAAGACGGUUUUGCUGUCACUUAUAGAUGGAUCCGCGCCGCAUUAGCUAGUUGGUAAGGUAACGGCUUACCAAGGCAACGAUGCGUAGCCGACCUGAGAGGGUGAUCGGCCACACUGGAACUGAGACACGGUCCAGACUCCUACGGGAGGCAGCAGUAGGGAAUCUUCCGCAAUGGGCGAAAGCGUGACGGAGCAACGCCGCGUGAGUGAUGAAGGUCUUCGGAUCGUAAAACUCUGUUAUUAGGGAAGAACAAAUGUGUAAGUAACUAUGCACGUCUUGACGGUACCUAAUCAGAAAGCCACGGCUAACUACGUG